UACGUAGGGUGCGAGCGUUGUCCGGAAUUACUGGGCGUAAAGGGCUCGUAGGUGGCCAACUAAGUCAGACGUGAAAUCCCUCGGCUUAACCGGGGAACUGCGUCUGAUACUGGAUGGCUUGAGUUCGGGAGAGGGAUGCGGAAUUCCAGGUGUAGCGGUGAAAUGCGUAGAUAUCUGGAGGAACACCGGUGGCGAAGGCGGCAUCCUGGACCGACACUGACACUGAGGAGCGAAAGCGUGGGGAGCGAACAGG
RNAcentral lists this ribosomal RNA (253 nucleotides) under uncultured bacterium. RNAcentral's name for it is "partial 16S ribosomal RNA". It matches the Rfam family "Bacterial small subunit ribosomal RNA", at positions 524 to 776 of the family's 1533-position model. The record is from RNAcentral.